This 507-nucleotide ribosomal RNA is filed under the name uncultured bacterium. Its description in RNAcentral is "bacterial SSU rRNA". It matches the Rfam family "Bacterial small subunit ribosomal RNA", at positions 791 to 1300 of the family's 1533-position model. The record is from RNAcentral.
UAGUCCACGCCGUAAACGAUGGAUACUAGCUGUCCGGAACCUUGAGUUCUGGGCGGCCAAGCGAAAGUGAUAAGUAUCCCACCUGGGGAGUACGUUCGCAAGAAUGAAACUCAAAGGAAUUGACGGGGGCCCGCACAAGCGGUGGAGCAUGUGGUUUAAUUCGAUGAUACGCGAGGAACCUUACCAGGGCUUAAAUGCAUAUUGACAGGUCUAGAGAUAGACUUUCCUUCGGGCAAUUUGCAAGGUGCUGCAUGGUUGUCGUCAGCUCGUGCCGUGAGGUGUCAGGUUAAGUCCUAUAACGAGCGCAACCCCUGCCGUUAGUUGCCAGCAUGUUACGAUGGGGACUCUAACGGGACUGCCGGUGCAAACCGUGAGGAAGGUGGGGAUGACGUCAAAUCAUCAUGGCCUUUAUGCCUAGGGCGACACACGUGCUACAAUGGUAAGUACAGAUGGUAGCGAAGCCGCGAGGUGUAGCCAAUCUGAGAAAGCCUAUCCCAGUUCGGAUUG